This 346-nucleotide ribosomal RNA is filed under the name uncultured Peredibacter sp. RNAcentral describes it as "bacterial SSU rRNA". It matches the Rfam family "Bacterial small subunit ribosomal RNA", at positions 1014 to 1360 of the family's 1533-position model. The record is from RNAcentral. Lineage: Bacteria; Pseudomonadati; Bdellovibrionota; Bacteriovoracia; Bacteriovoracales; Bacteriovoracaceae.
UGCCCGCAAGGAAAUGUAGUGAGAGGUGCUGCAUGGCUGUCGUCAGCUCGUGUUGUGAAAUGUUGGGUUAAGUCUCGCAACGAGCGCAACCCCUAUCGUCUGUUGCCAGCAUUAAGUUGGGCACUCUGACGAGACUGCCUGGGUUAACCAGGAGGAAGGUGGGGAUGACGUCAAGUCCUCAUGGCCCUUAUGUCUAGGGCUACACACGUAAUACAAUGGCGCGUACAGAGGGAAGCGAACUCGCAAGGGGGAGCAAAUCUCAAAAAGCGCGCCUCAGUUCGGAUUGGAGUCUGCAACUCGACUCCAUGAAGUUGGAAUCGCUAGUAAUCGGAGAUCAGCACGCUCC